Molecule: non-coding RNA, 75 nt
Organism: Potamilus streckersoni
Lineage: Eukaryota; Metazoa; Mollusca; Bivalvia; Unionida; Unionidae
Source: the annotation of a GenBank genome assembly
CGUUUCGGUUGCCUAAGUGGUUAGAGCGUCCGCCUCGGAAUCGGUAGGUCUCAGGUUCGAACCCUAGACUUACGA